RNAcentral lists this ribosomal RNA (491 nucleotides) under Lasiodiplodia theobromae. Its description in RNAcentral is "eukaryotic LSU rRNA". The stretch from base 175 to 328 matches the Rfam family "5.8S ribosomal RNA". The record is from RNAcentral. Lineage: Eukaryota; Fungi; Ascomycota; Dothideomycetes; Botryosphaeriales; Botryosphaeriaceae.
UUCCGUAGGGGAACCUGAACCUGCGGAAGGAUCAUUACCGAGUUUUCGAGCUCCGGCUCGACUCUCCCACCCUUUGUGAACGUACCUCUGUUGCUUUGGCGGCUCCGGCCGCCAAAGGACCUUCAAACUCCAGUCAGUAAACGCAGACGUCUGAUAAACAAGUUAAUAAACUAAAACUUUCAACAACGGAUCUCUUGGUUCUGGCAUCGAUGAAGAACGCAGCGAAAUGCGAUAAGUAAUGUGAAUUGCAGAAUUCAGUGAAUCAUCGAAUCUUUGAACGCACAUUGCGCCCCUUGGUAUUCCGGGGGGCAUGCCUGUUCGAGCGUCAUUACAACCCUCAAGCUCUGCUUGGAAUUGGGCACCGUCCUCACUGCGGACGCGCCUCAAAGACCUCGGCGGUGGCUGUUCAGCCCUCAAGCGUAGUAGAAUACACCUCGCUUUGGAGCGGUUGGCGUCGCCCGCCGGACGAACCUUCUGAACUUUUCUCAAGG